UGUUUAUAGUGUUUGUGGAGCAAUGCUAUAGGAAGAGAUUUUGGCUGCUUUCUAGAACAGUUUCCUGGGGAGAGAGAAGCUAGGAAGCUACUUCUGAAAAAGGAACCCAAAAGAGGCUGCUUUAUCUAUCCCAUUGUUCUACGUCUAGACGAGGCACAGCUUUCUAACAAAUAAUUAG
Long non-coding RNA from Orcinus orca (killer whale), 178 nucleotides. RefSeq lists it as uncharacterized. NCBI's taxonomy places the organism in Eukaryota, Metazoa, Chordata, Mammalia, Artiodactyla, Delphinidae. The record is from RefSeq and is a predicted model, not a curated record. The transcript is spliced from 3 exons.